CCCUUAGAUGUUCUGGGCCGCACGCGUGCUACACUGACCGGCGCAACAAGUUUCUUUCCUUGGCUCGAUAGGCCUGGGUAAUCUUUGAACGCCGGUCGUGAUGGGGAUAGAUCCUUGCAAUUUUUGAUCUUCAACGAGGAAUUCCUAGUAAAUGCGAGUCAUCAUCUCGCGUUGAUUACGUCCCUGCCCUUUGUACCCACCGCCCGUCGCACCUACCGAUUGAAUGGUCCGGUGAAGCCUCGGGAUUGCGAAUGCUUCGUGCGGACGCGAGAACUUGGCUAAACCUUACCAUUUAGAGGAAGGUGAAGUCGUAACA
RNAcentral lists this ribosomal RNA (316 nucleotides) under uncultured eukaryote. RNAcentral's name for it is "partial 18S ribosomal RNA". It matches the Rfam family "Eukaryotic small subunit ribosomal RNA", at positions 1470 to 1796 of the family's 1831-position model. The record is from RNAcentral.